RNAcentral lists this unclassified non-coding RNA (425 nucleotides) under Hevea brasiliensis (rubber tree). Lineage: Eukaryota; Viridiplantae; Streptophyta; Magnoliopsida; Malpighiales; Euphorbiaceae. The record is from RNAcentral.
GCAACUUAGACUGAUAUAAUGCAUAAGCAGUCUGCAAAGACUAGAUUUCAGGUAUGGUACUCCGACUUCUACACUGAGAAACUGUCUACUUUCGACAUGAGUUGCCUGUCAUCUUGGUUUAUUCAUCCUGGUGGACUAAGAAGUUGCAACAGCAUUUAUUCUCCCGAAAUUUCUCUCCAGUUGCACUUCUAGAGUUUCGUUACCAAUAUUUUGCUGCUCCUCUUGGAUCUCUUUCGCUGAAAGCACUGCAGAUUGGCUUGAAUUUUCCAGCUCUAUUAUCUGCAAAGUCGGAAUAUCUCCCAGAUCGUGAGGGAUGCUGUCUAAGUGAAGACAACACUUAAGAACUAGAUGUUCCAGGACAGGAAAAUGAUCAUUUGAGGCACUCCAGUGCUCUAAAUCAAACAUCUCGAUCUGCAACAGUUUUA